AUGUCUCUCCCAAAUAAUGCUGCCCCUAUUACUAUUGUGCCUUAUGAAAAUAUAAUUGUGGAAGAUAAUGAUACUUCUUAUGAUCUUGAAAAUCUUUUUGGCACUUGCUUGGAAGAAUAUGAUAAUUUCUAUACUAUUGGUGCUAUCCAUACUAUUAAUUAUGAGAGUGAGUAUGCUUAUGAUAUGAAAAGGCCCAAGCUUGGGGAUGCUAUGUUUGAUGAGGAUGAUGUUUUUGAGAAUAUAUUUGCUGCAAUUAAUGUUUGUCCUAAGCUUGGGGAUGCUACACUUAAUGAAGAUGAUAUUUUUAGUCUCCCAAGUUUUGAUAUGCAAAUUUAUAAUGAUGAUAGCAUGCCUCCUACCUAUGAUGAUUAUUGUGAUGAUACUUAUGCUAUAAAAAGUAGUGAUUAUAUUUAUAAAACUUGUCAUGAUUAUGAUUACCCCUUCUCUGAACAUUACUCUUUUAAUGUGGAAACAAUUUAUUGUAUUCAAGUCUCUUAUGAUACUCCCACUAUUCCGAAUGGGAAGAAUUUUGCUUAUGUGGAGAGUAGUAAAUUUUCUAUGCUUGUAGAUCAUGAAAAUAAUGCUUUAGGUGCUGGUUAUAUUGUUGAAUUCAUUCAUGAUGCUACUGAAAAUUAUUAUGAGGGAGGAACAUAUGCUUGUAGGAAUUGCAAUAAUAUCAAGUUUCCUCUCUAUGUGCUUAAAGUUUUGAAGUUAUGCUUGUUUUACCUUCCUAUGAAAGUUGAUUCUUGUUCUCAUAAGUUGUUUGCUCAAAAAAUCCCUAUGCAUAGGAAGUGGGUUAGACUUAAAUGUGCUAGUCAUAUUCUUCAUGAUGCUCUCUUUAUGUUUCAAUUCUUAUCUUUUAUAUGA
RNAcentral lists this ribosomal RNA (867 nucleotides) under Triticum aestivum (bread wheat). RNAcentral describes it as "partial small subunit ribosomal RNA". Lineage: Eukaryota; Viridiplantae; Streptophyta; Magnoliopsida; Poales; Poaceae. The record is from RNAcentral.